CCAAAUCCAUGUGGAGUACGGGCGAGAAGACGACGAAUGGUUAAACCGCCAUGGUUUGCACGGCCGCUGAUUCUUCUCAGCUCAGAUGGCCCACCGCUCACUACUCUGGUCUGUGGUCUCUGUACAAUAGCAGGCAGAAUUACAUUACAUAAAGAUUACCGGAUCUUCAAGCACGUCUAGGUUCACUGAACCUUAUGGAUG
This 201-nucleotide long non-coding RNA is filed under the name Setaria italica (foxtail millet). RNAcentral's name for it is "long non-coding RNA (SITA_LNC001792)". Lineage: Eukaryota; Viridiplantae; Streptophyta; Magnoliopsida; Poales; Poaceae. The record is from RNAcentral.